RNAcentral lists this ribosomal RNA (226 nucleotides) under uncultured bacterium. RNAcentral describes it as "partial 16S ribosomal RNA". It matches the Rfam family "Bacterial small subunit ribosomal RNA", at positions 118 to 342 of the family's 1533-position model. The record is from RNAcentral.
UGAGGAACAUGACCUUCGGCGGGGGAUAGCCGGCCCAACGGCCGGGUAAUACCGCGUACGACCACAUGGGGACAUCCCUGAGUGGUGAAAGCAGCAAUGCGCCGAUGGAGUGCCUCGCGGCCUAUCAGCUAGUUGGUGAGAUAACGGCUCACCAAGGCGACGACGGGUAGCUGGUCUGAGAGGAUGGCCAGCCACAUUGGGACUGAGACACGGCCCAGAUCCCGUA